This 779-nucleotide ribosomal RNA is filed under the name Listeria monocytogenes. RNAcentral's name for it is "partial 23S ribosomal RNA". It matches the Rfam family "Bacterial large subunit ribosomal RNA", at positions 751 to 1527 of the family's 2925-position model. Lineage: Bacteria; Bacillati; Bacillota; Bacilli; Caryophanales; Listeriaceae. The record is from RNAcentral.
GUAAGGUAAUACUUACUGGAGGUCCGAACCCACGCACGUUGAAAAGUGCGGGGAUGAGGUGUGGGUAGCGGAGAAAUUCCAAUCGAACUUGGAGAUAGCUGGUUCUCUCCGAAAUAGCUUUAGGGCUAGCCUCGAGGUAAAGAGUCAUGGAGGUAGAGCACUGUUUGGACUAGGGGCCCUUCUCGGGUUACCGAAUUCAGAUAAACUCCGAAUGCCAUGUACUUAUACUCGGGAGUCAGACUGCGAGUGAUAAGAUCCGUAGUCGAAAGGGAAACAGCCCAGACCACCAGUUAAGGUCCCCAAAUAUAUGUUAAGUGGAAAAGGAUGUGGGGUUGCUUAGACAACCAGGAUGUUGGCUUAGAAGCAGCCACCAUUGAAAGAGUGCGUAAUAGCUCACUGGUCGAGUGACCCCGCGCCGAAAAUGUACCGGGGCUAAACAUAUUACCGAAACUGUGGAUGAACCUCUUUAGAGGUUCGUGGUAGGAGAGCGUUCUAAGGGCGGUGAAGUCAGACCGGAAGGACUGGUGGAGCGCUUAGAAGUGAGAAUGCCGGUAUGAGUAGCGAAAGAAGGGUGAGAAUCCCUUCCACCGAAUAUCUAAGGUUUCCUGAGGAAGGCUCGUCCGCUCAGGGUUAGUCGGGACCUAAGCCGAGGCCGAUAGGCGUAGGCGAUGGACAACAGGUAGAGAUUCCUGUACCAGUGCUAAUUGUUUAACCGAUGGGGUGACACAGAAGGAUAGGGAAUCGCACGAAUGGAAAUGUGCGUCCAAGCAGUGAGUGUG